AGGAUGAACGCUGGCGGCGUGCCUAAUACAUGCAAGUCGAGCGGUAAGGCCUCUUCGGAGGUACACGAGCGGCGGACGGCUGAGUAACACGUAGGAACGUACCCCAAAGUGAGGCAUAAGCACCAGAAAUGGUGUCUAAUACCGCAUGUGCUCUAAGGAGUAAAGCUUCGGCGCUUUGGGAACGGCCUGCGCAUGAUUAGCUUGUUGGUGAGGUAAUAGCUCACCAAGGCGACGAUCAUUAGCUGGUCUGAGAGGAUGACCAGCCAGACUGGGACUGAGAACGGCCCAGACUCCUACGGGAGGCAGCAGUAGGGAAUUUUCCACAAUGGGCGAAAGCCUGAUGGAGCAACGCCGCGUGCAGGAUGAAGGCCUUCGGGUUGUAAACUGCUUUAUAUGUGACGAAUAUGACGGUAGCAUAUGAAUAAGGAUCGGCUAACUCCGUGCCAGCAGCCGCGGU
RNAcentral lists this ribosomal RNA (457 nucleotides) under uncultured bacterium. RNAcentral's name for it is "SSU rRNA". It matches the Rfam family "Bacterial small subunit ribosomal RNA", at positions 26 to 521 of the family's 1533-position model. The record is from RNAcentral.